Molecule: transfer RNA, 71 nt
Organism: Ovis aries (sheep)
Lineage: Eukaryota; Metazoa; Chordata; Mammalia; Artiodactyla; Bovidae
Rfam family: tRNA
About the family: Transfer RNA (tRNA) molecules are approximately 80 nucleotides in length. Their secondary structure includes four short double-helical elements and three loops (D, anti-codon, and T loops).
Source: Rfam
UCCCUGUUGGCUCAGCAGUAAAGAACCUGCCUGCAAUGCAGGAGACCCGGGUUCGAUCCCUGGGUCAGGAA